AUACGGAGGACGCGAGCGUUAUCCGGAUUCAUUGGGAUUAAAGGGUGCGCAGGCGGCCGUGCAAGUCAGCGGUGAAAGCCCGGGGCUCAACCCCGGAAGUGCCGUUGAUACUGCAUGGCUGGAAUGCGGUCGAGGCGGGCGGAACGUGGCGGGGAGCGGUGAAAAGCGUGGAUAUGCCACAGAACGCGGGUAGCGGAGGACGGUCCCCGGGCCUGCAUUGACGCUCGGGACCAGAAGCGUGGGGGACAAUCCGGUUUAGAGCCCCGUGGUGUCCACGCCGUAAACGAAGGGCGCUCGUCGUCGGCGGCAACCAGUCGGCGGCCAAGCGAAAACGAUAAGCGACCCCCCUGGGGAGUACGGUCGCAAGGCUGAAACUCAAAGGAAAUGACGGGG
RNAcentral lists this ribosomal RNA (393 nucleotides) under uncultured bacterium. RNAcentral's name for it is "partial 16S ribosomal RNA". It matches the Rfam family "Bacterial small subunit ribosomal RNA", at positions 523 to 918 of the family's 1533-position model. The record is from RNAcentral.